AACGAACGCUGGCGGCAGGCUUAACACAUGCAAGUCGAACGCGUGCAGCAAUGCACGAGUGGCGCACGGGUGAGUAACGCGUGGAUAUCUGCCUUUUGGUUCGGAAUAACCCCGGGAAACUGGGGCUAAUACCGGAUGGUUCCUACGGGAUAAAGAUUUAUCGCCAAAAGAUGAGUCCGCGUCCGAUUAGCUAGUUGGUGAGGUAAUGGCUCACCAAGGCGACGAUCGGUAGCUGGUCUGAGAGGACGAUCAGCCACACUGGGACUGAGACACGGCCCAGACUCCUACGGGAGGCAGCAGUGGGGAAUAUUGGACAAUGGGGGCAACCCUGAUCCAGCCAUGCCGCGUGAGUGAUGAAGGCCUUCGGGUUGUAAAGCUCUUCUGGCGGGGACGAUGAUGACGGUACCCGCAGAAUAAGCCCCGGCUAACUUCGU
This 434-nucleotide ribosomal RNA is filed under the name uncultured bacterium. RNAcentral's name for it is "partial 16S ribosomal RNA". It matches the Rfam family "Bacterial small subunit ribosomal RNA", at positions 29 to 506 of the family's 1533-position model. The record is from RNAcentral.